RNAcentral lists this ribosomal RNA (197 nucleotides) under uncultured bacterium. Its description in RNAcentral is "partial 16S ribosomal RNA". It matches the Rfam family "Bacterial small subunit ribosomal RNA", at positions 328 to 539 of the family's 1533-position model. The record is from RNAcentral.
ACGCUCGACACCUACGGAGGCAGCAGUGGGGAAUAUUGCACAAUGGGGGAAACCCUGAUGCAGCGACGCCGCGUGAGCGAAGAAGUAUUUCGGUAUGUAAAGCUCUAUCAGCAGGGAAGAAAAUGACGGUACCUGACUAAGAAGCCCCGGCUAACUACGUGCCCGCAGCCGCGGUAAUCUGAGCGGGCUGGCAAGGC